AUUGAACGCUGGCGGCAGGCCUAACACAUGCAAGUCGAACGAGUGGCGGACGGGUGAGUAAUGUCUGGGAAACUGCCUGAUGGAGGGGGAUAACUACUGGAAACGGUAGCUAAUCCCGCAUACCAUCGGAUGUGCCCAGAUGGGAUUAGCUAGUAGGUGGGGUAACGGGUCACCUAGGCGACGAUCCCUAGCUGGUCUGAGAGGAUGACCAGACACACGGGAACUGAGACACGGUCCAGACUCCUACGGGAGGCAGCAGUGGGGAAUAUUGAACAAUGGGAGCAAGCCUGAUGCAGCCAUGCCGCGUGUAUGAAGAAGGCAUGCGGGUUGUAAAGUACUUUCAGCGGGGAGGCGUUACCCGCAGAAGAAGCACCGGCUAACUCCGUGCCAGCAGCCGCGGUAAUAC
This 406-nucleotide ribosomal RNA is filed under the name uncultured bacterium. RNAcentral describes it as "partial 16S ribosomal RNA". It matches the Rfam family "Bacterial small subunit ribosomal RNA", at positions 30 to 526 of the family's 1533-position model. The record is from RNAcentral.